Neltuma alba is the source of this 343-nucleotide long non-coding RNA. RefSeq lists it as uncharacterized. Lineage: Eukaryota; Viridiplantae; Streptophyta; Magnoliopsida; Fabales; Fabaceae. The record is from RefSeq and is a predicted model, not a curated record. The transcript is spliced from 3 exons.
UUAAAAAAUGAGGGUCAGGUAGAACUAAAAUCGGGGUAAAAUGUUGGGGCAAAUAUGUGAAAACAAUAGUUUGUCGUUAGGCUCAUAGUUGGAUUCGCAUGAGAUGCGGGGUCUUAAUUGUAAUUAGCUCGUAAUCUAAGUUGAGAGUGGUGAAGAGAAAGAAAGUGAGGAAAUGGGAGGUUGAUUUGUAAAAUCCGGGAAGAUAUUGGGCUGGAUUAGGUGGGCCGUGAAUAAUUUCUUAGCUUUAUGACUUUAAGAUGGGCCAAGUGCCUUUUAUCCUUGAUGUUGUAGACUAAAAUAUUUAAAUCAGAAAUCUGGGCUUGCUGUAAAAAUUUUAACCCAC